GUUGGCGACGUGGAUUAGGCAUGCAAGUCGAGCGAGAAUCGUCACAUUGAAGCUUCGGUGGAUUUGUGACGAGGACAGCGGCAGACGGGGUAGUCAUACAUAGGUUACGUACCCUCAGGUCCGGGAUAGCCACGGGAAACUGUGAUUAAUACCGGAUAAUCUCUGCGGAGCAAAGGUGAGAUUCCGCCUGAGGAGCGGCUUAUGCGUUACUAGGUUGUUGGUGAGGUAACGGCUCACCAAGCCUUUGAUGACCAGGGGGUGUGAGAGCAUGGCCCCCACCACUGGGACUGAGACACUGCCCAGACACCUACGGGUGGCUGCAGUCGAGAAUCUUCGGCAAUGGACGCAAGUCUGACCGAGCGACGUCGCGUGCGGGAUGAAGGCCCUCGGGUUGUAAACCGCUGUCAGAGGGGAGGAAAUCAUAGAAGGCUAUCCUUCUAUGUUGACCGAGCCUCAGAGGAAGCACGGGCUAAGUUCGUGCCAGCAGCCGCGGUAAUACGAACUGUGCGAACGUUAUUCGGAAUCACUGGGCUUAAAGGGUGCGUAGGCGGUUAUUUAAGUAGGAUGUGAAAUCUCCCGGCUCAACCGGGGAACUGCGUUCUAAACUGGAUAACUUGAGUGAGAUAG
This 627-nucleotide ribosomal RNA is filed under the name uncultured Planctomycetota bacterium. RNAcentral's name for it is "bacterial SSU rRNA". It matches the Rfam family "Bacterial small subunit ribosomal RNA", at positions 35 to 654 of the family's 1533-position model. The record is from RNAcentral. Lineage: Bacteria; Pseudomonadati; Planctomycetota.